AAUAAAACUAUGAAAAGGAAGAGUAAAUAAUAAACUACUUUAAAGAGAGAGGAAUUCCGUGGCUGAAAUAUUCCUUGAGGAAGAAUUAUUGAAAACCACCUUUGAGUUGUAUACUGAAAUUCUUAUUAGGUAUUUCCGCAGAUCUGCGUUAUGGAUAUGGAGAUAACAGUAUAAAAAUUGUAAUAAGUAUAAUAUUAUCUAUUAAUACACAUGAUUUGGGGUAUGUGUAUUAAAUAAUUUUAAUUAAAUAUUACUGUUAAUUUGGGUGGAAUCGCGAUAAAACUCGUCCCAUGU
This 294-nucleotide non-coding RNA is filed under the name Clostridium kluyveri. RNAcentral's name for it is "T-box sequence". It matches the Rfam family "T-box leader". From Rfam's summary of the family: Uncharged tRNA acts as the effector for transcription antitermination of genes in the T-box leader family. T-boxes are found upstream of many aminoacyl-tRNA synthetase genes and some amino acid biosynthetic genes usually in Gram-positive bacteria. The anticodon of a specific tRNA base pairs to a specifier sequence within the T-box motif, and the NCCA acceptor tail of the tRNA base pairs to a conserved bulge in the T-box antiterminator hairpin. The record is from RNAcentral. Lineage: Bacteria; Bacillati; Bacillota; Clostridia; Eubacteriales; Clostridiaceae.